This 476-nucleotide long non-coding RNA is filed under the name Homo sapiens (human). RNAcentral describes it as "non-protein coding lnc-CCNH-3:1". Lineage: Eukaryota; Metazoa; Chordata; Mammalia; Primates; Hominidae. The record is from RNAcentral.
GUUGAACAAUGAGAACACAUGGACACAGGGAGGGGAACGACACACACCGGGGCCUAUUGGGGGCUGAGGGCCUAGGGGAGGGAUAGCAUUAGGAGAAAUACCUAAUGUAGAUGACAGGUUGAUGGGUGCAGAAAACCACCAUGGCACGUGUAUAACUAUGUAACAAACCUGCACAUUCUGCACAUGUAUCCCAGAACUUAAAGAACAAUAAAAACAAAAAGAUUUUAAAAAAAGAUAUGUCUGUUCAAAAGGAGUAGCUUUGACAUGCUAAGGGACUCACUUGGAUGGUACACGCCAAGUGAAAAAUCAGGUUGAAGAUAUGAUUACAGGAACAUUCUAAAGUUGUUUGAUAUGUGAGUACAAGCAACUAACUCUACUUCUCCUGGGAAGUGGGUGGGAAACCGUAUUGAGAUAGAUACUGAUGAUCAGAAAAUAAAGACCAAGAUAACUUACUACAUGCUAUCAGUAUUACAUCA